UAGCCAUGAUGAGGACAUUAAAGUUGGUAGCUCUUGAAUCUCUCCCAUGUGUUUCUGAAUGAUUCUCGUGGACCUUGACGGAAUGUGGAGAUUUUCUUUCUUAGAUC
Molecule: non-coding RNA, 107 nt
Organism: Brassica napus (rape)
Lineage: Eukaryota; Viridiplantae; Streptophyta; Magnoliopsida; Brassicales; Brassicaceae
Source: Rfam